RNAcentral lists this ribosomal RNA (465 nucleotides) under Vreelandella stevensii. Its description in RNAcentral is "partial 16S ribosomal RNA". It matches the Rfam family "Bacterial small subunit ribosomal RNA", at positions 338 to 795 of the family's 1533-position model. Lineage: Bacteria; Pseudomonadati; Pseudomonadota; Gammaproteobacteria; Oceanospirillales; Halomonadaceae. The record is from RNAcentral.
CCUACGGGCGGCAGCAGUGGGGAAUAUUGGACAAUGGGGGCAACCCUGAUCCAGCCAUGCCGCGUGUGUGAAGAAGGCCCUCGGGUUGUAAAGCACUUUCAGUGAGGAAGAACGCCUGGUGGUUAAUACUCAUCAGGAAAGACAUCACUCACAGAAGAAGCACCGGCUAACUCCGUGCCAGCAGCCGCGGUAAUACGGAGGGUGCGAGCGUUAAUCGGAAUUACUGGGCGUAAAGCGCGCGUAGGUGGCUUGAUAAGCCGGUUGUGAAAGCCCCGGGCUCAACCUGGGAACGGCAUCCGGAACUGUCAAGCUAGAGUGCAGGAGAGGAAGGUAGAAUUCCCGGUGUAGCGGUGAAAUGCGUAGAGAUCGGGAGGAAUACCAGUGGCGAAGGCGGCCUUCUGGACGGACACUGACAGUGAGGUGCGAAAGCGUGGGUAGCAAACAGGAUUAGAUACCCUGGUAGUC